GGGUCAGUAGGUUGGUCGUGCCACCGGUACGUACUGGUCUCACUGAUUCCUCCUUCCUGAAGAACCGUAAUGCCAAUAAUUUGGUGUUGCGGGGAAGCAGGACUGUUAGUUUGAAAAAAUUAGAGUGUUUAAAGCAAGCUAACGCUUGAAUACAUUAGCAUGGAAUAAUGAAAUAGGACGAUCGAUCCUAUUUUGUUGGUUUCUAGGAUUGACGUA
This 216-nucleotide ribosomal RNA is filed under the name Glomeromycotina sp. RNAcentral's name for it is "partial small subunit ribosomal RNA". The stretch from base 40 to 216 matches the Rfam family "Eukaryotic small subunit ribosomal RNA", at positions 686 to 864 of the family's 1831-position model. Lineage: Eukaryota; Fungi; Glomeromycota. The record is from RNAcentral.